CAUGUAGGCGGUUUUUUAAGUCUGGAGUGAAAAUGCGGGGCUCAACCACGUAUGGCUCUGGAUACUGGAAGACUUGAGUGCAGGAGAGGAAAGGGGAAUUCCCAGUGUAGCGGUGAAAUGCGUAGAUAUUGGGAGGAACACCAGUGGCGAAGGCGCCUUUCUGGACUGUGUCUGACGCUGAGGUGCGAAAGCCAGGGUAGCGAACG
RNAcentral lists this ribosomal RNA (206 nucleotides) under uncultured bacterium. Its description in RNAcentral is "partial 16S ribosomal RNA". It matches the Rfam family "Bacterial small subunit ribosomal RNA", at positions 568 to 774 of the family's 1533-position model. The record is from RNAcentral.